Molecule: ribosomal RNA, 478 nt
Filed under: uncultured bacterium
Lineage: Bacteria
Description: partial 16S ribosomal RNA
Rfam family: Bacterial small subunit ribosomal RNA
Source: RNAcentral
GACGAACGCUGGCGGCGUGCUUAACACAUGCAAGUCGAACGGUAAGGCCCUUCGGGGUACACGAGUGGCGAACGGGUGAGUAACACGUGGGUGAUCUGCCCUGCACUUCGGGAUAAGCCUGGGAAACUGGGUCUAAUACCGGAUAGGACCACUGCCUGCAUGGGUGGCGGUGGAAAGCUUUUGCGGUGUGGGAUGGGCCCGCGGCCUAUCAGCUUGUUGGUGGGGUGAUGGCCUACCAAGGCGACGAUGGGUAGCAGGCCUGAGAGGGUGAGCGUGCACACUGGGCCUGAGUUCCGGCCCAGAUUCCUGAGGGAGGGAGAAGUGGGGAAUAUUGCACAAAGGGCGCAAGCCUGAUGCGGCGACGCCGCGUGAGUGAUGACGGCCUUCGGGUUGUAAACCUCUUUCAGCACAGACGAAGCUCAAGUGACGGUAUGUGCAGAAGAAGGACCGGCCAACUACGUGCCAGCCGCCGCCGUAA